GAUGUUGAGAGAUAGAACAGCUUUGCCUGGACAUCUACUUUUCUGAUUCUUUAGCAAGUUUCAUGCCAGAGGUUUUUGCUAAGUUUUUCAAAAGAAAUCUUAAUGUUCCUCAUAUGGUUUCUCUCAAGUCACUCAAGUAGUGUAUAAAUCCUUAUCGAGGCAUAUGAGUAAGUUGCUUUCUCUAUGUAAUCCUACUAUAAUAAAGGCUUAUGUGAAGCUCAAGGUAGGAACAAGGGGAUGGCAUACUUACAUUGCAUAUAUUGUGAAGUCAAACCUCGGAUCCGUGGAGGAAGAGUAGUGUCAUGCUUGAGAUCAAGAUAUAUAUGUGGAAAUGUGGUAUGAGUAUGAUGGCUAGAUGGCCCUUUAUUUGAUUGUGAUCUCUCUAUUUUUUUUUCUAUUGAGACAAGGCUAGCAUUUUUCUCUUUUUUUCUCAAGGACUUGAUGAUGUCCUUCCUAACAAGAUGAUUAUUUUUAUAUAGCCUUUGCUUUGUGUCUCAUGUAACAUUUAGCUAUUAGAGAGAGAGAGAUUCUACACUUAGAGCAUGGAGCAUCUAUAUUUUGGUGGAAUGGAAUGGAAUGGUAUGGAAUGUUGCAUACUCCUAGUGUAGGAGCAGCAGUUGUAUGUGGAUGGUGUGGAUCUUGAUCUCAUUGAACAUGAUACAACUCUAAACCAAGGGUCAGCAAGAGUUGACAACUCUCAACACAAGCA
RNAcentral lists this long non-coding RNA (709 nucleotides) under Sorghum bicolor (sorghum). Its description in RNAcentral is "long non-coding RNA (SBIC_LNC001112)". Lineage: Eukaryota; Viridiplantae; Streptophyta; Magnoliopsida; Poales; Poaceae. The record is from RNAcentral.